CAGCCUUGGCCCCGCCCCUCGGCCCUGGCCCCGCCUCUCUGGUCCCACCCUCCGCUCAAGGGAGCGGGCCCACCCAUGGUUCUGGAAGCCAGCGAGAUUACUGAACUGGAUUUCGAACCCAGAACCUCCCCCAUGCACGAUUCUCACGUAGCCUCUUCCUGCGCUCACACCUGCCCGGGCGCCCCUCGUCCUGCCCUGCCCUGCCCAGGAUGUCGUGCUGUGGGGACCUAGUGACCCUGACAUAAAGGACCUAUGCAAACGGCCUGGCAGCCCCCCUCACUUGGUGCCCAAUGUGGCUCCCUACUGCCCUAGAACGGAGUCCUUGGUCUCUACACAUUGUCCAGCCACUGGUCCUGCUCCUCAGCCUGUGACGUGACCACGAGCUAAGAUCACAAUGCACCAGGACAGCGUCUGGUCACACAGCCCUGAUCGAGGCCUCCCGUCUGACGCAGUCUAGGAAGGUGUAACACCCAUUGCUCCCAGCCGCCCUAAUCCCCCCC
Molecule: non-coding RNA, 500 nt
Organism: Peromyscus maniculatus bairdii (prairie deer mouse)
Lineage: Eukaryota; Metazoa; Chordata; Mammalia; Rodentia; Cricetidae
Source: RefSeq, a predicted model, not a curated record